UCCCUGGUGGCUCAGAUGGUAAAGCGUCUGCCUGCAAUGCAGGAGACCCGGGUUCAAUUCCUGGGUUGGGAA
This is a non-coding RNA of Bos taurus (domestic cattle), 72 nucleotides long. The record is from Rfam. NCBI's taxonomy places the organism in Eukaryota, Metazoa, Chordata, Mammalia, Artiodactyla, Bovidae.